UUAAAUUGGUCUGAGGAUGAUAAGGCGAGGUCCUCUUUCGUUUGAGGUUCCAUCGCUCACAGGUCUCCUCAAAGACAGAAGACAUGAACUGUGGGCCCUGGUCGGAGAGGAUAAACGUGGGGACACCCCAGCGUGUCAGGAUCUCCUUCCUGAGAACCUGGGAUACUGUCUCUGCAGUGGCUGUCCUAAGGGGAAACAUUUCAACCCAUCUGGUGUAGUAAUCUACAAAAACAAUCAGGUUUAUGAAGCUGGCAGACCUGACAACAGCGAACAUAAUUUCUCACAUCCAAACUCAUUUUUGGCCAGUACACCAGGGCCUGUAGCCGUUUAUAGGUUUUAUAUCUUCCAAGAUGGCCAGCUAGAGGGUCAUCAUGAUAAUGGUGGAGAAGUUGUUGUCGGAGGGUGGAUGGUAUGUAUAUUUGGUAGAGGGUUUUGUGGGGCACCUGUACCACUCUGUACACUUUAUCUUCUAAAAUGGUGAACUUUGUGGUUGGGGUUUCUGUGACCUCUCCUGUUUCUAUUAUUUUUUCAUACAGAUCCUGUAUUAUAGAGUCCUGCUGCUGUGCUUUCCAGAUAUCUGCGUCUGUGAUGUGUAGGGUUUUGCAAGUGUCUCGCUUGGACCUUAGGACAGCAGCACAGGUGGCAGGUUGGAAAGGACAUGGAUCAUUCACAGGGGCUCGUGAUAAAGCAUCCGGUACUGUAUUGUACUUGCCUUUACGGUAUUCCACUGUAAAGGUGAACUCUUGGAGACGCAGUGCCCACCGGAUAAGGCGGGUGCUAGGCUUUUGCGUUUUAAAAACCCACACAAGAGAAGAAUGAUCAGUCACUACAGUAAAAGGUCUGCCUUCCAGGUAAUACCUCCACUUCUCCAGGGCCCAGACCACAGCGAGGCACUCCUGUUCGGUGGUAGAGUAGUUUCGCUCUGCCUGAUUCAGAGUCCGGCUGGCAAAGGCAAGAACCUGUUCUGUACCCAAUCCAGUUUGUUGGGUCAACACAGCCCCCAAGCCAACAUCACUGGCAUCUGUGUACACAAUGAAAGGUAGGCUAAAGUCAGGUUGACCUAGCACAGGUGGAGAAACCAGAUGUUGUUUCAGGGCAUCAAAAGCGGUUUGACAAGAUGAUGUCCACAGAAAUUUGGUUCCCUUCCGUUUCAAAGCAUUAAGCGGUUCUGUUAACUGAGAGAAUCGGGGCACAAAGCGAUGGUACCAACCAGCCAUUCCCAGAAAUCUUUGAACCUCUUUGAUGUUCUUGGGGACAGGAAAGUCUUGAACGGCCUUUGUUUUCGCAGGAUCUACUUCCACCCCAGCAAAGGAAACAAUGUGUCCCAGGAACUUAAGUGAAGUUCUGAAGAACUGACUCUUCUUCAUGUUAACAGUGAGGUCUCCAAGCACAAGCUCCAUCAGCCUUUGAAAAGUUGCUGGGGCAUUUUUCAGUCCGAAUGGCAUUACUUUAAACUGAUAGAGGCCAAUGGGACAGACGAAAGCAGUUUUUUCGCGACUGUCUUUAUCCAUUUGGACCUGCCAGUAGCCACUGUUGAGAUCCAGUGUGGUGAAUACUGCAGCUCCAGCCAGGGAUUCCAAAAUUUCCUGUAUGUUUGGUAAG
Sphaeramia orbicularis (orbiculate cardinalfish) is the source of this 1602-nucleotide long non-coding RNA. RefSeq lists it as uncharacterized. The record is from RefSeq and is a predicted model, not a curated record. NCBI's taxonomy places the organism in Eukaryota, Metazoa, Chordata, Actinopteri, Kurtiformes, Apogonidae. The transcript is spliced from 3 exons.